RNAcentral lists this ribosomal RNA (596 nucleotides) under Labrys khuzestanensis. RNAcentral describes it as "SSU rRNA". It matches the Rfam family "Eukaryotic small subunit ribosomal RNA", at positions 1044 to 1652 of the family's 1831-position model. Lineage: Eukaryota; Metazoa; Nematoda; Chromadorea; Rhabditida; Tylenchidae. The record is from RNAcentral.
CACUAGCGAUCCGCCGGCGGAUUCCAAACGCCCUGGUGGGGAGCUUCCCGGAAACGAUUAAGUCUUCCGGUUCCGGGGGAAGUAUGGUUGCAAAGCUGAAACUUAAAGGAAUUGACGGAAGGGCACCACCAGGAGUGGAGCCUGCGGCUUAAUUUGACUCAACACGGGGAAACUCACCCGGCCCGGACACCGCGAGGAUUGACAGAUUGAUAGCUCUUUCAUGAUUCGGUGGAUGGUGGUGCAUGGCCGUUCUUAGUUCGUGGAGUGAUUUGUCUGGUUUAUUCCGAUAACGAGCGAGACUCUAGCCUACUAACUAGUCCGCAUGCUCCCCCGCGGAGGCAUGCCCCCACGGACUUCUUAGAGGGAUUUUCGGCGUUUCAGCCGCACGAAACUGAGCAAUAACAGGUCUGUGAUGCCCUUAGAUGUCCGGGGCUGCACGCGCGCUACACUGGCGAAAUCAGCGUGCCUGUCCUCUCGCGAAAGCGACUGGUAAACCGGUGAAAAUUCGCCGUGCUUGGGAUCGGAAAUUGCAAUUAUUUUCCGUGAACGAGGAAUUCCAAGUAAGUGCGAGUCAUCAACUCGCGUUGAUUACGUCC